This 974-nucleotide long non-coding RNA is filed under the name Ricinus communis (castor bean). Its description in RNAcentral is "long non-coding RNA (RCOM_LNC000799)". Lineage: Eukaryota; Viridiplantae; Streptophyta; Magnoliopsida; Malpighiales; Euphorbiaceae. The record is from RNAcentral.
UUGCCUCCAAACACUAUUUCUUCUUUUAAACAAACUCUUCUCCCCUUUUUUUUUCUCUUUCUCUUUCACUAUUUUCUCUCUCUUUCUCUACCUAAGAAAAGUGCAUCCAAAAAGCAAACUUUUGCCUAAUUCAAUAAAACAUCCAAGGAGUGGGAGUUCUUCAUCUCAAGCCCUUUAUUCAGUCGCACCAUUAGUUUUUUUCAACCACAAUCAUCCAUCCAUGCAAUUUAGCGAUAACGUCUCCUGAGCACGGUUUGAAAAUUUAGCCAACAAGAAAUUUUGCCUAACUUGUCACCUUGAUUGGGAGUUUAUGCAUUCUAUUAGUUUUAAGGAGCAACUUAGAGGAUAGGUGAACCAACUGGCAUUGGAAAAAAAAAUUUGAGAUUUCGAAGCCUGCUUAUAGAGAAAUCACCCUUAAUUCUUGUGUACGCUAUGUUUUGAGGUUGGCUCACGGAUUGAUCGUACGGUAAAACAGUGAAGUUUCAAUUGGGAAGAAAAUAUUUUGACAUGUCGAUGAAUGAGUUCGCCAUUGCUAUGGGUAUCUACACUGAGGAAGAAGUGAAAUCUGAUGAAUAUAGGCAUGCACCUUUCAGGUUCUUCGGAAAUCGCACUCCGAAAGUGGUCUCGGCAAAUUUGGAGCCCAAUGCACCUAGGUAUGUCACUCUAAACCAAAAGCCUCCACUUUCGAUUCUUUUCCACUGCGUUUUAUGCAUUUCUUAUUAACAGGACCUAUUUUAUUUGAUCUGAUUAGAUGAGGGUAUAUGGUACAAUGUGGCUUUGAGUUUAUUGGUGUAUUUGCUAGAGCAGGCCAAAAAAUUAGACAAAGAGUGUUUGUGUGGAGGUAUGUAUAUAAUAAGGCUAGCUAAGAAUCUGCGGGUUUUUUAUGGACUUUCGGCAAUGAUGUUAGAUGGAUUGCCAAAAUUGAUGGGUCUUGAAAUCUUGCAGCUCAUGGAUAAGAAAAAACACAUUUUGCC